GAUAAACGCUGGCGGCGUGCUUAACACAUGCAAGUCGAACGGAGUGGUUCUCCCGAAGACCUGAAGAGCUUGCUCGGAUGGAAUUCAUUUGAAUCACUUAGUGGCGGACGGGUGAGUAACGCGUGGGUAACCUGCCUCAUACUGGGGGAUAGCAGUUGGAAACGACUGAUAAUACCGCAUAAGCGCACAGCACCGCAUGGUGCAGUGUGAAAAACUCCGGUGGUAUGAGAUGGACCCGCGUCUGAUUAGCUAGUUGGCGAGGUAACGGCCCACCAAGGCAACGAUCAGUAGCCGGCCUGAGAGGGUGUACGGCCACAUUGGGACUGAGACACGGCCCAAACUCC
This 344-nucleotide ribosomal RNA is filed under the name uncultured Coprococcus sp. Its description in RNAcentral is "bacterial SSU rRNA". It matches the Rfam family "Bacterial small subunit ribosomal RNA", at positions 28 to 339 of the family's 1533-position model. Lineage: Bacteria; Bacillati; Bacillota; Clostridia; Lachnospirales; Lachnospiraceae. The record is from RNAcentral.